This 243-nucleotide ribosomal RNA is filed under the name Staphylococcus epidermidis. Its description in RNAcentral is "partial 16S ribosomal RNA". It matches the Rfam family "Bacterial small subunit ribosomal RNA", at positions 273 to 508 of the family's 1533-position model. Lineage: Bacteria; Bacillati; Bacillota; Bacilli; Caryophanales; Staphylococcaceae. The record is from RNAcentral.
GCAACGAUGCGUAGCCGACCUGAGAGGGUGAUCGGCCACACUGGAACUGAGACACGGUCCAGACUCCUACGGGAGGCAGCAGUAGGGAAUCUUCCGCAAUGGGCGAAAGCCUGACGGAGCAACGCCGCGUGAGUGAUGAAGGUCUUCGGAUCGUAAAACUCUGUUAUUAGGGAAGAACAAAUGUGUAAGUAACUAUGCACGUCUUGACGGUACCUAAUCAGAAAGCCACGGCUAACUACGUGC